UACGAAGGGGGCUAGCGUUGCUCGGAAUUACUGGGCGUAAAGGGCGCGUAGGCGGCCUGAUAAGUAGGGGGUGAAAUCUUUCGGCUUAACCGGAAACGUGCCUGGGAUACUGCGCGGCUGGAGGGAGAUAGGGGCGGACGGAACUUCCGGUGGAGCGGUGAAAUGCGUUGAUAUCGGAAGGAACGCCGGUGGCGAAAGCGGUCCGCUGGAUCUCUACUGACGCUGAGGCGCGAAAGCCAGGGGAGCAAACGGG
RNAcentral lists this ribosomal RNA (253 nucleotides) under uncultured bacterium. RNAcentral's name for it is "partial 16S ribosomal RNA". It matches the Rfam family "Bacterial small subunit ribosomal RNA", at positions 524 to 776 of the family's 1533-position model. The record is from RNAcentral.